Molecule: long non-coding RNA, 1071 nt
Filed under: Monodelphis domestica (gray short-tailed opossum)
Lineage: Eukaryota; Metazoa; Chordata; Mammalia; Didelphimorphia; Didelphidae
Description: lncRNA (ENSMODG00000042392.1)
Source: RNAcentral
GCCAUGGAACAAUAUAGACUGUGUUCUGGAAUGUGGGGGGAAUGUAGAAAAGGGAACACAGAGAGGUGCCAGGGGCUUUUUGAUUUCCUGUUUCUGGGAGAGCUCUUGCUUGGGAUCUCUAUCAAGUGAAGGAGGGUUUUGUUUCCUAUCCCCUUGAAGCUAAAGCCACCAGCACUGGUAUCCUGUAUGAAGACAUCAGUCAUACCUUGUCAUCUACUUAUGUUCCAGCCUCCUGAAAGGUCCCCUACAUACACCAACACUGAGGAGAACAGUCACCAGGAAACUCGGAUGUCCAGAGAACUUCCUUUACUCCAAGGCUAUUCUCCUCCCACUAACUCUCAUAUAUGAUGUCCUAAGUGCCAACAAUGAUUUUCUAAUUUGUCUGGGCUGCCCAGGAGGCAAUGCCUGGGAAAUCACUCUGUUGUCUCCUGAUAUUCUUGGCUGUCUUGCUCCAUUUUUUUGACUGUUGUUCUGACCUCGUGACUAAAUUUAUCCAAUGAUUUCCCUCACACAGUCUUCACUUCUGUCCUAUGUUCAAAUUCGUGCCAGAUACCUGUGGUUGAAAAGGGAGAAAGGAUAAAUUCCUUUAUCACAGUACUUAACUAGAGUAGUACCCAUGUAUUUAAGUAUCAUUAUGCUUAAUUGUCUCCCUAAAUCUAAAUACCUCUAUGCCCAAGUAUCUAGUUAUAUAAGAACCUAAGGAAUGAAGUAUCUAAGAACCUGCCAACUAAUUACCUAAGUGCCUAAUCAUCUAAUUGCCUAAGAAAAUAUUUCUCAACUUGUCAUACUCCUUUUGUUUCAUUACCUGAAACUCUCCCACUGUAAAAUCUACCCUCUUGAUUUUCCAUUUGUUAGUCUAAAUGUUAGAAUAGAUUUCAAAAGAUAUGAUUAGUAUGUUGGAUAAGUCUGAAAGUAAGGAUGUACCUCAACAAAUCCCCAUUACUCCCAAGCUGCCUUUAUUUCUUUUGUUGUUGCCAAGAACAUUCCUUUUCAUGUGAUCUGAAAAUUGCCAAUUGGGCAUUGCUCUGCACUUUAGCUAAAUUUGAUUUAAAAAAAAAAAACUAUUGCAUU